CGCCUGGCGUCAGCGACCGGUGCAGACAGGAAGAGGCUCUAGGCGGGCACAUGUGUAUGGCGGCGAGGCGGGCGGGUACAUGGCGGGCUCUGUGGGACUGGCGUUGUGCGGGCAGACGCUGGUGGUGCGGGGCGGCAGCCGAUUCCUGGCCACCUCCACAGCAAGCAGUGACGAUGACAGCCUCUUCAUCUAUGACUGCAGUGCUGCGGAAAAGAAGUCACAAGAAAAUAAAGGGGAGGACGCGCCCUUGGACCAGGGGAGCGGUGUGAUUCUGGCGUCCACCUUCUCCAAGUCUGGCAGCUAUUUUGCUUUAACUGAUGACAGUAAGCGUCUGAUUCUUUUCCGUACAAAACCAUGGCAAUGUCUGAGUGUCAGGACUGUGGCGAGGAGGUGUACAGCCCUGACCUUCAUAGCCUCUGAGGAGAAGGUCUUGGUGGCCGACAAGUCUGGAGACGUCUACUCCUUUUCGGUGCUGGAGCCACACGGGUGUGGCCAUCUAGAGCUGGGGCACCUGUCCAUGCUGUUAGAUGUGGCUGUGAGUCCUGAUGACCGCUUCAUCCUCACUGCCGACCGAGACGAGAAGAUCCGAGUCAGCUGGGCCGCGGCGCCCCACAGCAUCGAGUCCUUCUGCUUGGGGCACACAGAGUUUGUGAGCCGCAUCUCCGUGGUGCCCACUCAGCCCGGACUGCUUCUGUCCUCCUCUGGGGACGGCACCCUGAGGCUCUGGGAGUACAGGAGCGGCCGCCAGCUGCACUGCUGUCACCUGGCCAAUCUACAGGAGCUGGUGGACCCCCAGGCCCCCCAGAGGUUUGCUGCAUCCAGGAUUGCGUUCUGGUGCCAGGAGAACUGCGUGGCGCUUCUGUGUGACGGCACUCCUGUGGUCUACAUCUUCCAGCUGGACGCCCGCAGACAGCAGUUGGUGUACAGGCAGCAGCUGGCGCUCCAGCACCAAGUGUGGGACAUGGCUUUCGAGGAGACCCAGGGCCUGUGGGUGCUCCAGGACUGCCAGGAAGCACCCCUGGUGCUCUACAGGCCUGUGGACGGCCAGUGGCAGUCUGUUCCUGAGAGCGCCGUGUUAAAGAAAGUCUCUGGUGUUCUUCGUGGGAACUGGGCCAUGCUGGAAGGUGAGAGCACAGGUACAGGCUGCCCUUGGGGGUCACACCCAGCGCGGUCCCCAGAGAAAGCAGAAGCACACACUGUGACCCGCCCGAGGGACCCGGUGUGCAGAUAAAGAGGGAGGGUCAGCAUGUGUACCCAUCCAGAAGGCGGGCCGGGGCAGGAGGAGGGUGGCGCACAGGAGAAGGAGGACCCCCCCCAUGGGAGUCAGGCUGACGAGAGCCACGCAGGAACCGGGGGCUCAGGGUCUGAGCAGCAUCCCCCGCUCCCCACCUGCCUUCAGAGUUGGGCAUUGAAGGUCCCCAGGGCAGGGCUGGCAUCUGGUGGCUCCCAGAGGGAACGGGUGCUGUGCUGCCUCGGGCCUGGUCCAUGGUGUUGAGGGAAUUGAUCCCACUACAGCGUGCGUCAGCAAGUGCAGGACCCCACUGGGAGGUCAGGUGGGGGUCCAGCCAGAGGCGUGGGGGUCUUCAGGAGGCUGAGCAGGGGCUGGAUGGUCACUGUCCUGACGGGAACAUUCAGCUGAGGGGAGGGAAUCUGGUCAGCAACUUGUGUGGCUGCGGCUGCAGGAAGGAGAGCAGCCGGGCUGAGGGAGGAGCUGGACGAACAUUUUCGGGGGACAUGGCGCAUUGUUCUGGGUGCGCCGUUGCGCCAGCACUGCGCUGUCUUGGAGGCGAUGGUGUCUGCAGGAUGGGUUAGCCCAGCACGGAAUCCUAGUACCUCAUUCACGACAAGAAGUUGCUGCUCUGAGGAAGUCUUGCAAAGCCAGACCCGCUGCAGUGAGCACUGAGGUUCCUUGGAGCUCUGGAGGGAAUCAAACGCAGGUCGGAGGAAUUUCCGCUGACGGUGGCCCGAUCGCCUUCUGCCAAGCUUCCUGAGUGGUGGUGGCGCACUGGCUCUGCCUCUGAGGCUUCUCUCCCUCCUGCUUUGCUUAGGAUGUUGAGGGUUGAGACAGGCAGGGUUGGGCCCCCCCAGUGUGGUUGGGAUCUGCUUUAGGAACACUCCGAGUGGGCCUGUCACCGGCUGUGUCAGGGACUGCAGGCGGCAGUGCUCAUGGCUGGGCAUCUGCAGUGCUCAUGGCCCCCGUGCUCUAGGCCACAGGUAGCCUGGACCUGUUGAGUGUCAUCUUGCACAACAUUCUCAGGCCAAAGCCUGGGCUCGCUCUCCUGAGACGUUUCAUAGAUAGGGUGGCACGUUCCCGACGCAGACUUGGGGGCCUUGUUGGGAGAGGGAUGGGGGAGGGCUGCUUCUUGAGUGUCCCACAAGCAGCAGAGUCACUGGAGGGGCGGGGAGGCUGCGCCACCUGCCGGAUGAACGGGCUUCAGGCCAUCGCUGGUGCGUGAGUUACCGGCUAGGCCUGUGGUUUCCUGGCCAGGCUGAGGCCGUCUCUGUGCCUGUGGUCAGUCAUUGCCCCCCAGUCCUUGGCAGUUAGAUAAAGUAGAUGAAAUCCAUGUCCAUUCCCUGUGGCUGCAGAACAUGUUAUCCCACACUCGAUGCCUUAAGGCACCCCACCCUGAGCGUCUCACUGUUGCUGUGGGUCAGGGGUCUGGACUCCGCUGAGCUGUGUCUCUGCAGGUGGCCACCUCAACUUCACCAGGCAGGGCCCGACCUCGCUCAGUCCGGGUUGUCGGCAGGACAGGGGGCCUCUCUGGCUGUUGGCCAGAGGCCGCUGCUCCCAAUCCCUGGCCACCUGGGCUGCUUCAGUGGGCGGCGCAUGGUGCAGUAGUGGCUUUCUCUGGGCGCGUGAACAGAGAGUGCUGGCAGGGUGGAGGCCCAGCCUUGGUGCCCUGGUUUCCGAUACAUUCUUUCGUCUUUGCCCCAUUCUGUUAGGAGGCAGUCCUCAGGUCCAGCCAGGGUGUGGGUGCCAGGAGGCUCUGCUGGUGCGGACGCCAACUUCAGCAGUCUCUACAAGGCCACGUUCGACAACAUGACCUCCUACCUGAAG
Molecule: non-coding RNA, 3058 nt
Organism: Macaca mulatta (Rhesus monkey)
Lineage: Eukaryota; Metazoa; Chordata; Mammalia; Primates; Cercopithecidae
Source: RefSeq, a predicted model, not a curated record